GGUUGUGAUCAUACCAGCACUAAUGCACCGGAUCCCAUCAGAACUCCGCAGUUAAGCGUGCUUGGGCGAGAGUAGUACUAGGAUGGGUGACCCCUUGGGAAGUACUCGUGUUGCAACCCCUUUUUUUUCGUUUUUUUUGUUUUUAUUAUAUUUACUAGUCGAUGUAUCUUUGGCGUAGCAUCCGAUUGGCCGAUUUUGUGAAUGGAAUGCUUUGAGUAAGGCGCGCGACGUAGGCCACACAUGAGGGCAUAGGUGCGCAUAGGAUCAAGGCGUGGAAAGGUAUAAAGUAAUAAGGAGAUGGUAUUCUUUCGGUUGCGAUCAUACCAGCACUAAUGCGCCGGAUCCCAUCAGAACUCCGCAGUUUAGCGUGCUUGGGCGAGAGUAGUACUAGGAUGGGUGACCCCCUGGGAAGUCCUCGUGUUGCAUCCC
RNAcentral lists this long non-coding RNA (429 nucleotides) under Helianthus annuus (common sunflower). Lineage: Eukaryota; Viridiplantae; Streptophyta; Magnoliopsida; Asterales; Asteraceae. The record is from RNAcentral.